AACGAACGCUGGCGGCAUGCCUAACACAUGCAAGUCGAACGAGACCUUCGGGUCUAGUGGCGCACGGGUGCGUCACGCGUCGGAACCUUCCCUUAGGUUCGGAAUAACUCUCCGACAGGGGUGCUAAUACCGGAUAAUGUCUUCUGACCAAAGAUUUAUCGCCUUUGGAUGGGCCCGCGUUGGAUUAGCUAGUUGGUAGGGUAAAAGCCUACCACGGCGACGAUCCAUAGCUGGUAUGUGAGGAUGAUCAGCCACACUGGGACGGAGACACGGCCCAGAAUCUUACGGGAGGGAGCAGUGGGGAAUAUUGGACAACGGGCGAAAGCCUGAUCCAGCAAUGCUGCGUGAGUGAUGAAGGCCUGAGGGUUGUAAAGCUCUUUUACCCGGGAUGAUAAUGACAGUACCGGAAGAAUAAGCACCGGCUAACUCCGUG
RNAcentral lists this ribosomal RNA (433 nucleotides) under uncultured bacterium. RNAcentral describes it as "partial 16S ribosomal RNA". It matches the Rfam family "Bacterial small subunit ribosomal RNA", at positions 29 to 507 of the family's 1533-position model. The record is from RNAcentral.